GACGAACGCUGGCGGCGUGCCUAAUACAUGCAAGUCGAGCGGACCACUUCGGUGGUCAGCGGCGGACGGGUGAGUAACACGUGGGCAACCUGCCUGUAAGACUGGGAUAACACCGGGAAACCGGUGCUAAUACCGGAUAAUCCUUCUCUUCUCAUGAAGAGAAGCUGAAAGACGGUUUCGGCUGUCACUUACAGAUGGGCCCGCGGCGCAUUAGCUAGUUGGUGAGGUAACGGCUCACCAAGGCAACGAUGCGUAGCCGACCUGAGAGGGUGAUCGGCCACGCUGGGACUGAGCCACGGCCCAGACUCCUACGGGAGGCAGCAGUAGGGAAUCUUCCGCAAUGGACGAAAGUCUGACGGAGCAACGCCGCGUGAGCGAUGAAGGCCUUCGGGUCGUAAAGCUCUGUUGUCAGGGAAGAACAAGUACCGGAGUAACUGCCGGUACCUUGACGGUACCUGACCAGAAAGCCACGGCUAACUACGUGCCAGCAGCCGCGGUAA
Molecule: ribosomal RNA, 500 nt
Filed under: uncultured bacterium
Lineage: Bacteria
Description: partial 16S ribosomal RNA
Rfam family: Bacterial small subunit ribosomal RNA
Source: RNAcentral